UCCCUCUCCACACACACACACACACACACAAAGUCCCCACAAGUCAGUUACGACCCAGUAAUAACUUAUCUGUGUCUAACAGAGCACACAACAGGGAAUGAGGACAACAUGCUCUCUACAGUCAAUAAUCAAGCACUAUGUAAUGCAGAGAUAACCUAGCACCCUUCCUAUGGAAAGAAUAUAAGUAAUGAGACAACAUUACGUUAGGAAACUGUUGACAUACACAAUAAGUGGACUGUGCUCUGUUCAGUGCAGGCUGGGACAGGAUGUAUAAUGAGAGUGAUUCCUUGAGUAAGGGGCAGGAUGGACAGACAGAAAGAUGGAUGGAGAAUGAAUAACAUCAGGGAAAGACCAGAGUGAAAAGCAAAGACUGAAAAACAGAAGAGAGACUUCUGAGGAGAAUACCCUUGAUCAGGAGUUGGAAACAAGUUUCGGGUCACAUGAAAACAGAGCACCAAUUCUGAAGGGUAGGAAGUGAUAAUAACAGGAAGGAAGGAACGUGGAGAACUAUCACAGGAUUUGAGGGACAACAAUUUAAUAAGCAGAAUCCAGAGAGAAGGUAUGAGAACAGAAGUUAAUGAGGAUAGCAGAGCAGUAGCACACCCUUCUUUCAAGAACUUGCUAAUUAAUAUCUUAUUCCUCUGGGU
Molecule: long non-coding RNA, 647 nt
Organism: Neopelma chrysocephalum (saffron-crested tyrant-manakin)
Lineage: Eukaryota; Metazoa; Chordata; Aves; Passeriformes; Pipridae
Exons: 3
Source: RefSeq, a predicted model, not a curated record